GACGAACGCUGGCGGCGUGCUUAAUACAUGCAAGUCGAACGGAAAGGCCCUGCUUUUGUGGGGUGCUCGAGUGGCGAACGGGUGAGUAACACGUGAGUAACCUGCCCUUGACUUUGGGAUAACUUCAGGAAACUGGGGCUAAUGCCGGAUAGGAGCUCCUGCUGCAUGGUGGGGGUUGGAAAGUUUCGGCGGUUGGGGAUGGACUCGCGGCUUAUCAGCUUGUUGGUGGGGUAGUGGCUUACCAAGGCUUUGACGGGUAGCCGGCCUGAGAGGGUGACCGGCCACAUUGGGACUGAGAUACGGCCCAGACUCCUACGGGAGGCAGCAGUGGGGAAUAUUGCACAAUGGGCGGAAGCCUGAUGCAGCAACGCCGCGUGCGGGAUGACGGCCUUCGGGUUGUAAACCGCUUUCGCCUGUGACGAAGCGUGAGUGACGGUAAUGGGUAAAGAAGCACCGGCUAACUACGUG
RNAcentral lists this ribosomal RNA (468 nucleotides) under uncultured bacterium. RNAcentral's name for it is "partial 16S ribosomal RNA". It matches the Rfam family "Bacterial small subunit ribosomal RNA", at positions 28 to 507 of the family's 1533-position model. The record is from RNAcentral.